UCAUCGUCGUCGCCCAUGGCGGUGGCGAUCUUCCUCUCGGGCUUCCUCCUGGGCCUCCUCGCGCUCGCUCUCACGGAGGGGGCGGCGCUUCUCUAGGCCGUCCGCGCGCUGCGCCGCCGCGGGCCAAGGCCUCCGCCUCCGGAGGCCGCCGCCGCCGAGCUCUCCGGCGACCGGCCGUUCCCCGCCGAGAAGCAGGGUUUUCUCUGGAUGUUAGAGCCAGGAAAGGUGCCAAAAGUUAGGAACGGCAACCGCUUACCACCAACUGGGGUUCAGAAAGGCGUGAAGGAUAAAAAGAACAUCGUUGAGGUUUCUCCGAUAAGGAUGUGGGCUAAAAUUCAAGGCCACUCGCUUGUCUUGACAGGUUCCGAUGGUUCUCAGUUAACUAUUGGGCUUCUGGAUUGCACUGUUCUUGCUGUUUCUGCUUCUAACCUACCGUCGCGUAAAUGGUCUAAGAGGUAUCCGAUAAAACUAGAAAGCAAGGAAUCUGAGAUUUGCAAGCGGAGCAAGGUAUGCUAUCUUUAUGUGGACACCUCUUGGGAGAAAGAAUCAUGGUGUAAAGCACUUCGUCUUGCAUCUUCUACAGACAAGGAGAAACUGAAAUUGCAUACUAGGUUGAGCGAAGAGUUCAGAAGUUACAUAUCCUCUUUACACGCUGGAUACCCUUGUUUCCUGAAAUCAACUGCACUUUCUGCUGAGGAUCGUGAAAUUAUGGACAAGGCAGUAAAAUCUGAUGGGUCGUCAAAAGUACGCCUUUUCCUUAAGAAGUUUGCUAGGAAGGCAUCUAUAAAAGCUCCCCAGUUGACUAGAACAUGCUCGACCUCAGCACAAGCAGAAAGAAAGACGUUCCAAAAAACACGCAGCUACAUUGGUGCCGCACUAAUUGAUGCACAAGAAGAAAGGUCAAGCAGUAGUUCAUCAUCACUAGACAUAAAGCAACCCAGUACCCCUAGUUCUGAUUUCAGUUACAGCAACAGAUUCUCAGAUUCUCCUGAAACAAAUGUAGAUGAAAAGUUUACUGAUGAAGGCACACUUUGUUGGAACCUCCUAAUCUCUCGGUUGUUUUUUGAUGCUAAAAUGAGUGAUGAUAUAAGUAAAUCCAUUAAAGCACGCCUUCAGCGAAAAUUGUCAAACAUGAGAACUGCCUCCUAUAUUGGUGAAAUUACACUUACUGAUUUCAGUCUUGGAGAACUUCCACCAUAUUUGCGUACGAUGAGAGUCGUCCCAAGGGAUCUAAAUGAACUGUGGGCUUUCGAAUUUGAUUUUGAAUAUUGUAGUAAAAUAAUACUGAAUGCUGAAGCAAGACUUGAGGUUCAGGAACCAGGGCUGCAAAAAGACAUAAUGAGAACUACUGUCGAAGCAGAUUCUAAUGGCAACCAAUUUGGACCUUCGCAACUUUUGGCUUCUGUAAUGGAAGAUGAAGAUGAGGCAGGUUUGUUUGAAGUUUUCAUACAUUUUCUUUCCAUUGCUUAUUAUUUCUCAGAAUGA
Molecule: ribosomal RNA, 1485 nt
Filed under: Triticum aestivum (bread wheat)
Lineage: Eukaryota; Viridiplantae; Streptophyta; Magnoliopsida; Poales; Poaceae
Description: partial small subunit ribosomal RNA
Source: RNAcentral